RNA transcript from Strigops habroptila (Kakapo), 4661 nucleotides. It is a transcript of the gene named tetratricopeptide repeat domain 14, with no coding region annotated. The record is from RefSeq and is a predicted model, not a curated record. The transcript is spliced from 12 exons. NCBI's taxonomy places the organism in Eukaryota, Metazoa, Chordata, Aves, Psittaciformes, Psittacidae.
CUCGGCACUACCGUGUCAGGCUCCGGUUCCUGUUCCGGGCGGGGCGGUGCCGGCGGCGGCGGCGGAAUGGACCGGGAGCUGCUGCGUCAGGUGCUCAACUACCAUGGUCCUGAGCUGCUCUCGCUGCUCCGCGCCGAGCAGCACGACAACCCCGACUUCCGCGGGUUGCUGCCGCCGCCGGGGACCGUCCUCGAGCCGCCCCGCGGGGCCUUGCAACCGCCGGCCGCCUGCAAAGAGAGGACGAGCCUUGACACCGAGAUAAAGCGCUUCAUUGCGAAAAAAGCUGAUCUCCUUUUUGCUCACUCGUGGAGACCCAACGGACCUCUUUCCGAAACGAUUGAAGAAAAUGAAGACUAUUACGCUGUUAUGCCACCCCUGGAACGGUUCAUGGAGGUUCCUAGGGAAGAGAGGAGAGAAUUAUUUUUUCAAGACAUCGACUGUGGUGAUAUCGUGAUUGGGAAGAUUACUUCUAUUCGUGAAUUUGGCUUUUUCAUGGUGUUGAUUUGUUUGGGAAGUCGUUUCAUACGGGAAAUUUCAGAUUUAGAAAUCACUGCUCUUUGUCCUUUGAGAGAUGUGCCUUCUCAAAGCAACCAUGGAGAUCCCUUAUCUUAUUAUCAAACUGGAGACCUUAUUCGAGCUGCUGUCAAGGAUGUUGAUCGUUACCACGAGAAGCUCACGGUGUCGCUUUACAGCUCGGCUCUUCCACCCCAUCUUUGCAGUACAAAACUAGGUGUAAUUACUUCCGAUGACUUCCCACUACAUUAUAAGCGAAGCAUGGAAGUUGCUAAUACAGCAGAGACAUUUGAAGAGGUUUUGCAUCGUUCCCCAGGAUUUGGUAAUCCAUCAUUAGUUGAAUAUUUAGCAGAAAAACUAGGAAUAAGUGAAUCAAAUCCACCGUCUUUGCUAAGAAGUCUUCAAAUUAAAAAUUUCAAUGAAGAAGAUUUUGCUCCUGCAUUGAGGAAAAAGCAGUCUGAAUCAUGGGCCUUGAAAUGUGUGAAGGCUGGGGUUGAUUAUUUUAAGGUUGGGCGCCAUGUGGAAGCCAUGAAUGAGUACAACAAAGCUUUGGAAAUUGAUCCACAGAAUGUUGAAGCUUUGGUAGCACGUGGAGCUCUGUAUGCAACAAAAGGAAGUCUGAACAAAGCCAUAGGUGACUUUGAAAUUGCUUUAGAAAACUGUCCUACCCAUAGAAAUGCAAGAAAAUACCUCUGUCAGACUCUUGUGGAAAGAGGCGGGCAAUUGGAAGAGGAAGACAAACUAGUGAACGCUGAGAGUUACUAUAAGAAAGCCUUAAGUUUGGAUGAGACUUUUCAGGAAGCAGAAGAGGCCUUAACGAAACUCCGUAAGCAUAUGCAGGUGAUUCUUUACUUUCUCUUCAUAUAGUGCUCUCAGUGACAAUAAACAUCAAAAAUCAUAUUAGAUCUUUUGAACAAGGAGCGUUUAAGUUGGUGGUUUGUCUUAUUCUCUGCUUCCCUUCUUUAAAGUAAAUCUUUUAUAGUGAGCAUUAUGGCUGUACCUAUCAGAAGAAGGUACCUCUUGAUGACUUCACUGUUUUGAACAGGAUAGUAAAGAAACAGGGAAAAGAGCAAAGCCUGUUAACCCUGUCAGCUAUAGCAAGGAUAAGAAUAUUCCGUCAUACAAGCAUGAUUAAUAGUGUUAAAUUAUAACAUUCUGUGAAUAUAAACACACAAAGUGUAAACUUGAGCAAGCCAGAUAAACAUUUCACACCAUUUUACUGGCCAAAUCCUUGUCAUUUGGAGUAAUUGCAGAAAUAUAGGGUAACACCAGCCAAAGCUAACUCACAGGAAGAUCACAUGAGAGGGGAAAUGGAAGAGGUAUUUUAAAAGAAAACAGCAGGAGGUGGAGGGUGGGCAGACAGUUUGACUGUCCUAGCUUUCUUCUCUGCUGUCUGUUUUUGUUUUAUUUUCUCACUUCUCUUGCAUGCAGCAUGUUUCCCAGGAGAGCCCUGGUGGGUCGCUCUGCUAAUCUGAGUUAAAAUUGGUUUUCUUUUAUUUUCCUCCUUAACUUGUGUUGCCUUCCAGAGGGGAUCAAAGAGUGAAGUAGAGCACUGAGGAGCAGGCUUGUUUAGUUCUCUGUUUCUGUGUGUAACAAGUACAUAGACUGGGGUAGAUGGCCUUAAUCAACACUUCUUCGGUUGGUGGAGCCAUAAUGCUGACAGACUGUUGAAAGAAAGGGGAAGAGGAGAUGUGACAAUCUCUUUAAUAAAACUGAAUUACAUCAUAGCUAAACUAUUAUAUAGUACUUGAGCCAUGUUUGGCUGCUUUAGAAAGAGGUGUCAGUCUCCGUUAAAAUGAAGAAUAUACUUAGCAAGUAGGAGACUAAUUUUACACUCCUUUAGGGUUUCCUAGUGUAAUGGGUCAUUGAAGCAGCAAAUAAAAGUCACAAUGAUAGCUAUUGUUUGUUGGUUUGCAUAGCCUUAACUGCAAUUAAGUGUUUCCUUUACAAUAUCUGUUAAGACAGUUGCGAAGUUUUGAAAGCAAUCAGACUUUCUGCUCACUCUAAAUAUGAAUAGAGCUACUCUGCAGGGCUGUGGAGUGCAGAUAUCUGAUCUCUAGUAGGCUUAUGUAGUUUAAGGAUUAUUCAUCUGGUGAGAUGCAAUUUUGCUUUACCUGUAUUUUAAUACAUAAGUCUGAAUCUGUUGCUGUUGUGAGAGAAUGGCUAAAGCAACACUGGAGUAUGUUUUCCUGUAAUACUGAUUAUGUGUUUUUCUCUAAUGCAUUUUCUUCCGAAUUGGACCGUUGUUGCUGUAUCUGACAUCUGGUGCUGCUCAUCACCCAUAAACCCUUGGAACAUGAUUUCUUACGUAAACUAUGCAUCAAACUGGUCUGUGAAAUUGUUACCAAACGGUUUGUAUUCAAACAUGGCCAACUUGAAUACAUUUUAAAAUUCUGCCAUGUUUUACUUGUAAACUACAAUACUACAAUAAUGAUACUUUCCCUAAAACCUUUCUCUCUCUUGGGGUUUGGUUGUUUUGGGUUUUUUUGGUUUUGUUUCUGGUUUUGGGUUUUUUUUUUUUGUAUUCUCCAUGUUGGUAAUACUGUGUUCUCUGGCACAUUCUAUCUAUGCUUUCUGGGCUCCAUGCUUCACGGUGUGCUGGAUCAUGGGUACCACUGCAAUGAAAUCUUUGGAAAUGAGGGAGAAACAAGCUGCCAAAGAAGAGAGACAGAAAGAAAAGAAGGUAGAAACAAGUGCAGAAAAAUUGCGUAAGCUCUUAAAAGAAGAAAAAAGGUUGAAGAAGAAAAGGAAAGUUUCAACUUCCUCCUCUUCCUCAUCAUCCUCAAGUGAUUCUUCAUCAGAUGUAUCAAUUUCUUCUUCCUCCUCUUCCUCUGAUCACAAGAAACGUAGGAAGAAGCGUCGGAAUAGAUCCGAGUCUGCCCAUAGCUCCAAAAAAUGCUCAUCUAGAGUUUCUUCCCAUUAUAAAGAUCAGAUUAGGAAAGAGGAGUGUUAUUCACCUCCAGCUGAUACCUCUGCUUCGUUUCUUAACCAAAGCUUUGAAGUGGAGAAACUGCUGGAAAGGCAGGACAGCUUAGCAUGUCCAAAAACAGAGGUAAAAGAGAAAGACAGACACCGUUCUUUUUCAAGGACUUCAGGUGAUGAUGAAGACACUUUUGGAGGUAGGUCUGAAGCUUCAAGAGAUUCUUACAGUAGCUCCAGAACACUGCCAAGCAGUAGCAAAACUGAAAAAUAUGGUAAAACAGAUCGAUUUUUCUCCAGUUGGAGGGAUUCCUCAGGUUCAUAUCGUAAGUCAUAUGAUAAACCCAGUAUGCAUUAUUUUAGGAGAUCGGAAAGGGAUGUAGAGGGGAGAAAAGAGCCAUUUAAAAAACAUGGCUCAGGUCAUGACAGGUAUUACGUGUCUCCAGCAGGGUCUAACUAUUCUGGGAAGUCGGCAGGAAAAUACAGAUCAUAUUCUAGCACCUCCUUCCAUGAAGGUGAUAAAAGUUAUGAUAGCGAUAUGCAUGUGUUAAGUAAACAUAAAAAUGAAAGUGAGUGUAAGAGUAGGAAAAGAAGUUCUGAGGAGACUAGCAAAACGAAGGAACCAGAUGAGGAAACGUCUUUAAAUGGCACAGGGCAAACAGACAGUGGCAUUAAAAGAAACCUGCCUCAGAACUUAGUUAACAUAUUCAAUCAAAUAGCUGAGUUUGAGAGGGAGAAAGGAAGUAAGCAGAAGAAAGAGUGAAGUAACUAAGAAAACGCAACGCUCAUGAGAGUAGUUAAACUUUCAUUCGAGUAGUUCUUGAGGAAAUGUAAAUGAAGAACAGUAGAAAGGCAGAAUUUGUUCUGUCUUGGAGAAUGUCAGAGAAUUAUUAAAGCAAAGAUUAUAUGGUGGAAAGAGAUGCAAGGAUAUCUUCCAGAAAAAUACCAGUUAUUUCUUAAAAUCUAAGUUUCCAAUGCUCUUAAUUUGGGAUGCUGCUGUACAAUAUUCUCUGAAAUCCUUUGAUACCCCUGGACUGUAGUUAGCUGCAACUCACAUCAAAUAUGCACUUUAAUAUGGGGUUUGUUUGGUUUUUCUUGUCCCCGCGGGUACUAUUGACUUGGUAUUUUGUUAGCAAUCUUCAGCUAUAGAAAGGGGAUAACUGAAUAAAAGUCAUGUGCCAUCAAUGUACAUAGUUCAUUUGCUCAUUAAAUUUUCUUAAUUUUUCUUA